This 450-nucleotide ribosomal RNA is filed under the name uncultured bacterium. RNAcentral's name for it is "bacterial SSU rRNA". It matches the Rfam family "Bacterial small subunit ribosomal RNA", at positions 331 to 795 of the family's 1533-position model. The record is from RNAcentral.
CCAGACUCCUACGGGAGGCAGCAGUGGGGAAUAUUGGGCAAUGGGCGCAAGCCUGACCCAGCAACGCCGCGUGAAGGAAGAAGGCUUUCGGGUUGUAAACUUCUUUUCUGAGGGACGAAGGAAGUGACGGUACCUCAGGAAUAAGCCACGGCUAACUACGUGCCAGCAGCCGCGGUAAUACGUAGGUGGCAAGCGUUAUCCGGAUUUAUUGGGUGUAAAGGGCGUGUAGGCGGGAAUGCAAGUCAGAUGUGAAAACCCGGGGCUCAACCCUGGGAGUGCUUUUGAAACUGUAGGUCUUGAGUAUCGGAGAGGCAGGCGGAAUUCCUAGUGUAGCGGUGAAAUGCGUAGAUAUUAGGAGGAACACCAGUGGCGAAGGCGGCCUGCUGGACGACAACUGACGGUGAGGCGCGAAAGCGUGGGGAGCAAACAGGAUUAGAUACCCUAGUACCC